This is a long non-coding RNA of Salmo trutta (river trout), 3483 nucleotides long. NCBI's taxonomy places the organism in Eukaryota, Metazoa, Chordata, Actinopteri, Salmoniformes, Salmonidae. The record is from Ensembl.
GAGGAAGGGAAGGCUCAAACAGUCAGGUAUCAGCACACGCCACCUCUAUAUACACCGCACCUCUAUACACACCACCUCUAUACACACUAUACACACCACACCUCUAUACACACUAUACACACCACACCUCUAUAUACACCACCUCUAUACACACCACACCUCUAUAUACACCACCUCUAUACACACUAUACACACCACACCUCUAUACACACUAUACACACCACACCUCUAUAUACACCACACCUCUAUACACACCACACCUCUAUAUACACCACCUCUAUACACACUAUACACACCACACCUCUAUAUACACACUAUACACACCACCACCUCUAUAUACACCACCUCUAUAUACACCACCUCUAUAUACACCACCUCUAUACACACUAUACACACCACACCUCUAUACACACCACCUCUAUACACACCACCUCUAUAUACACCACCUCUAUACACACCACCUCUAUACACACCACCUCUAUACACACCACACCUCUAUAUACACCACCUCUAUACACACUAUACACACCACACCUCUAUACACACUAUACACACCACACCUCUAUAUACACCACCUCUAUACACACCACAUCUCUAUAUACACCACCUCUAUAUACACCACCUCUAUACACACCGCACCUCUAUACACACCACACCUCUAUACACACCACACCUCUAUAUACACCACCUCUAUAUACACCACCUCUAUAUACACCACACCUAUACACACCACACCUCUAUAUACACCACCUCUAUACACACCACACCUCUAUAUACACCACCUCUAUAUACACCACCUCUAUAUACACCACCUCUAUACACACCACAUCUCUAUAUACACCACCUCUAUAUACACCACCUCUAUACACACCACCUCUAUAUACACCACCUCUAUACACACCGCACCUCUAUACACACCACACCUCUAUACACACCACACCUCUAUAUACACCACCUCUAUACACACCGCACCUCUAUACACACCACACCUCUAUAUACACCACCUCUAUAUACACCACCUCUAUACACACCGCACCUCUAUACACACCACACCUCUAUAUACACCACCUCUAUAUACACCACCUCUAUACACACCGCACCUCUAUACACACCACACCUCUAUAUACACCACCCUCUAUAUACACCACCUCUAUAUACACCACCUCUAUACACACCACACCUUUAUAUACACCACCUCUAUACACACCACACCUCUAUAUACACCACCUCUAUAUACACCACCUCUAUAUACACCACCUCUAUACACACCGCACCUCUAUACACACCACAUCUCUAUAUACACCACCUCCAUAUACACCACCUCUAUACACACCGCACCUCUAUACACACCACACCUCUAUAUACACCACCUCUAUAUACACCACCUCUAUAUACACCACCUCUAUACACACCACACCUCUAUAUACACCACCUCUAUACACACCACACCUCUAUAUACACCACCUCUAUAUACACCACCUCUAUAUACACCACCUCUAUACACACCGCACCUCUAUACACACCACACCUCUAUAUACACAACCUCUAUAUACACCACCUCUAUACACACCGCACCUCUAUACACACCGCACUUCUAUAUACACCACCUCUAUAUACACCACCUCUAUAUACACAACCUCUAUAUACACCACCUCUAUAUACACCACCUCUAUAUACACCGCACCUCUAUACACACCACACCUCUAUAUACACCACCUCUAUAUACACACCACACCUCUAUACACACCACCUCUAUAUACACCACCUCUAUACACACCACACCUCUAUAUACACCACCUCUAUACACACUAUACACACCACACCUCUAUACACACUAUACACACCACACCUCUAUAUACACCACCUCUAUACACACCACAUCUCUAUAUACACCACCUCUAUAUACACCACCUCUAUACACACCGCACCUCUAUACACACCACACCUCUAUACCGCACACCCUCUAGAUACACCACCUCAUAUAACACCACCUCUAUUAUACAACCGCAACCUCUAUACAACACCACCUCUAUACACACUAUACACAACACACCUCUAUACACACUAUACACACCACACCUAAAUAUACACCACCUCUAUACACACCACACCUCUAUAUACACCACCUCUAUACACACUAUACACAACCACACCUCUAUACACACUAUACACACCACACCUCUAUAUACACCGCACCUCUAUACACACCACACCUCUAUAUACACGCAACCUCUAUACACCACCUCUAUACACACCACACCUCUAUACACACUAUACACACCACACCUCUAUAUACACCACCUCUAUACACACCACACCUCUAUAUACACCACCUCUAUAUACACCACCUCUAUACACACCGCACCUCUAUAUACACCACCUCUAUACACACUAUACACACCACCUCUAUACACACCACACCUCUAUAUACACCACCUCUAUACACACUAUACACACCACACCUCUAUACACACUAUACACACCACACCUCUAUAUACACCACCUCUAUACACACCACAUCUCUAUAUACACCACCUCUAUAUACACCACCUCUAUACACACCGCACCUCUAUACACACCACACCUCUAUACACACCACACCUCUAUAUACACCCCUCUAUAUACACCACCUCUAUAUACACCACACCUAUACACACCACACCUCUAUAUACACCACCUCUAUACACACCACACCUCUAUAUACACCACCUCUAUAUACACCACCUCUAUAUACACCACCUCUAUACACACCGCACCUCUAUACACACCACAUCUCUAUAUACACCACACCUCUAUAUACACCACCUCUAUAUACACCACCUCUAUAUACACCACACCUCUAUAUACACCACCUCUAUAUACACCACCUCUAUACACACCGCACCUCUAUACACACCACACCUCUAUAUACACCACCUCUAUAUACACCACCUCUAUACACACCACACCUCUAUAUACACCACCUCUAUACACACCUCACCUCUAUAUACACCACCUCUAUAUACACCACCUCUAUACACACCGCACCUCUAUACACACCACAUCUCUAUAUACACCACCUCUAUAUACACCACCUGUAUACACACCGCACCUCUAUACACACCGCACUUCUAUAUACACCACCUCUAUAUACACCACCUCUAUAUACACAACCUCUAUAUACACCACCCCUCUAUACACCACCUCUAUAUACACCGCACCUCUAUACACCCACACCUCUAUAUACACCACCUCUAUACACACCACACCUCUAUACACACCACCUCUAUAUACACCACCCUCUAUAUACCCCACCUCUAUACACACCACCUCUAUACACACCACCUCUAUAUACACCACCUCUAUACACCUCUAUAUAUACCACCUCUAUACACACCACCUCUAUAUACACCACCUCUAUACACACCACACCUCUAUACACACCACCUCUAUACACCACACUUCUAUAUACCUACUCACAUUGGCUCUUUCAAAUCAUCUUAA